This is a non-coding RNA of Pelobates cultripes (western spadefoot toad), 238 nucleotides long. NCBI's taxonomy places the organism in Eukaryota, Metazoa, Chordata, Amphibia, Anura, Pelobatidae. The record is from the annotation of a GenBank genome assembly.
CUGGUCAGAUGCUCAUCAAUCUAUAUUACCUUGCAUAUUUACGACCAAAAAGAGCAUAUAAACAAACGCAUUACAUUAUGUAAGUUAUUACCGCCUAGUCUAGUAUAAUUCUGACUUGUGGAAUUAGAGAAUGCUUAUGAUUUGAGGGCAACUAACAGUAGUGCAUAAGCUUAACUGAAUAACCUAGCGUUCCCUAAAGUCUUUAAGUACAUGGGUAUAUAUGCUAACUAACUAUAGA